Molecule: ribosomal RNA, 481 nt
Filed under: uncultured bacterium
Lineage: Bacteria
Description: partial 16S ribosomal RNA
Rfam family: Bacterial small subunit ribosomal RNA
Source: RNAcentral
GAUGAACGCUGGCGGCGUGCUUAACACAUGCAAGUCGAACGAAGCAUUUGCGACAGAUUUUUUCGGAAUGAAGUUGCUUAUGACUGAGUGGCGGACGGGUGAGUAACGCGUGGGUAACCUGCCUUGUACUGGGGGAUAGCAGCUGGAAACGGCUGGUAAUACCGCAUAAGCGCACAAUGUUGCAUGACAUGGUGUGAAAAACUCCGGUGGUAUAAGAUGGACCCGCGUCUGAUUAGCUAGUUGGUGAGAUAACAGCCCACCAAGGCGACGAUCAGUAGCCGACCGGGGGGGGUGACCGGCCACAGUGGGACUGAGACACGGCCCAGACUCCUACGGGAGGCAGCAGUGGGGAAUAUUGCACAAUGGAGGAAACUCUGAUGCAGCGACGCCGCGUGAGUGAAGAAGUAAUUCGUUAUGUAAAGCUCUAUCAGCAGGGAAGAUAGUGACGGUACCUGACAAAGAAGCUCCGGCUAAAUACGUG